Molecule: long non-coding RNA, 387 nt
Filed under: Oryzias sinensis (Chinese medaka)
Lineage: Eukaryota; Metazoa; Chordata; Actinopteri; Beloniformes; Adrianichthyidae
Description: lncRNA (ENSOSIG00000019082.1)
Source: RNAcentral
UGGAAGCCGCCGUUACGCGUCACUCGGCGCACGAGCGCCCGCCGAUGAGACUGCCUUCUCCGAGGCUGUAGCAGAUCUCAGAUGAUGGGGUGUUGGCGUUCAUCCACAAUUAACCUUCAUUCAGUUUCAGAUGGUUUAUUUCUGCUCCUGUAUUUCCUGCUUUUUGCGCCACCCGCGCGCUCCCCGCGUUGGAGGGCUCUUCCGGUGCUAGCAGGAGGGGCUCACCUGCGCUCAGGUGUCUGCAGGUGCUCUCUUUACCGUGACUCAGCAGAACCUCACCUGUGGCAGCACGAGCCUCUUUCUUGUUCUGGAGUGGCCUCAGGUUCCAGCUCCUCUCUGGAUCAGCUGAUGUUGGAGUCCUCACCACUGCCUGCAGUCCAUCUCUGA